Molecule: long non-coding RNA, 501 nt
Filed under: Androctonus crassicauda
Lineage: Eukaryota; Metazoa; Arthropoda; Arachnida; Scorpiones; Buthidae
Source: RNAcentral
GCUUGAUUUAGGAGGAGUUUUUAAAUGUUUUCAAUGUUAUUAUGUAGUAAACGGCACUAUUAUGAAGCUACUAGUCAUUCCAUAAGCGUCUUAAAGGACUGCUCUGUGUAACACUGUGACUGCCGUGUGUGCUUAGACACGUAACGUAGUUUCCUCAGUGGAUAGCACUCAAUCUAUUCCUUAGUGAUAUUGUAACAAUACUGCCAUUCCCUCCUACUGCACUGCCCAAGGUGUGUGUAGCACAAACAGUUCUCAUUACAAAGGACCAACUCAGCACCGAAAAGCUAUGCAUAGGAUAAGAACGACAGAAAGCACGAGGUGGAUCACACAGCAUUUUGUCAAGCACUGUGCAAUAUACCACAUUUAUCCCCACUGCAGCAGACCACCACUUCACCGAAGGGCAGCCUCUGAUUUCACACUGCAUCUAGCCUUUGCUCCCACCAGCCUCUGUGGUUCCUUCUCACUCCCAGGCCAGAGAGAGUAGGAAUGCUCUGAAGGGGA